UACGGGGGGGGCAAGCGUUGUUCGGAAUUACUGGGCGUAAAGGGCGCGCAGGCGGCCCGGCAAGUCCUUCGUGAAAUCCCACGGCUCAACUGUGGAACUGCGGCGGAUACUGCUGGGCUUGAGUCCGGGAGAGGGGAGUGGAUUUCCCAGUGUAGCGGUGAAAUGCGUAGAUAUUGGGAGGAACACCGGUGGCGAAGGCGACUCCCUGGACCGGUACUGACGCUGAGGCGCGAAAGCUAGGGGAGCAAACGGG
RNAcentral lists this unclassified non-coding RNA (253 nucleotides) under uncultured Acidobacteriota bacterium. RNAcentral's name for it is "uncultured Acidobacteria bacterium contains 16S-23S intergenic spacer region". It matches the Rfam family "Bacterial small subunit ribosomal RNA", at positions 524 to 776 of the family's 1533-position model. Lineage: Bacteria; Pseudomonadati; Acidobacteriota. The record is from RNAcentral.